This 823-nucleotide long non-coding RNA is filed under the name Olea europaea (common olive). RNAcentral's name for it is "long non-coding RNA (OEUR_LNC000389)". Lineage: Eukaryota; Viridiplantae; Streptophyta; Magnoliopsida; Lamiales; Oleaceae. The record is from RNAcentral.
ACACGGCUUUUGCUUACGGAUCGGAGAAGCCCCUCGGUGAAGCCAUCGCCGAAGCUCUAAGUCUCGGUCUCAUUAAAUCACGCGACGACCUCUUUAUCACAACAAAAUUAUGGUGUAGCUUCGCUCAACGAGAUCAAAUUGUUCCUACCUGUAAAAUGAGCCUCCAGUAAGCACAUUUAUGAACUGAAAUUCUUAGUACGUCCAUUAAUUAUAUAAUUAUUGGUACCAAUAAGUUAUAAAUUUCUAUGUAGGAACCUUAAGUUGGACUACGUUGACUUGUACUUAAUACACAUGCCACUGAGGUUGAGUCAAAUGAUACAGAAGACACCAGUUGAUAAAGAAAUCAUACAUCCUUUGGAUAUGAAGGGAGUUUGGGAAGGCAUGGAAGAGUGUCAAAAAUUGGGUCUCACAAAGGCCAUUGGUGUCAGUAAUUUCUCUUGUAAGAAGCUAGAGGAAGUCCUUUCCAUUGCCAAAAUUCCUCCAGCAGUCAAUCAAGUGAGUUUUACUUCCCUCUCCGAAUACCUAUUUUUAGGAGUAAUGCUAUUCAUAAUUAGUGACUACAUUAGUCGUUUUACAUGACAGCUUCUUAUUUGAGGUAACAGAAUUACAAGAAACUAAUGUCUCGAAUAAAAAGUUGUCACAUAAGAUAACUACUGAUUAUUCUAUUUGAGGUAGGGGCGAUGCUAAACCUGUGUUUUGCCUAACUGAAAUAAGGUUGAGAUCAAUCCCGCGUGGCAGCAAAAACAACUAAGAGAAUUCUGUAAGGCGAAGGGUAUUCAUAUAACUGCAUACUCGCCACUUGGUGCAAACAAUACUAAUUGGG